RNAcentral lists this small RNA (135 nucleotides) under Vibrio cholerae O1 biovar El Tor str. N16961. The record is from RNAcentral. Lineage: Bacteria; Pseudomonadati; Pseudomonadota; Gammaproteobacteria; Vibrionales; Vibrionaceae.
UUGAAUAAAUAUAAAUAUGCGUUUUAAGCUUUGUAAGCAUUAAAUAUGCAUUCGCUUCGACGUAGAUAUUAUUUACGUUAUAGCUGCAUAGUGAAUCAAUCUCAGCACAAGGAAUUUCAUUUAUUCCUUGCAUGA